GACGAACGCUGGCGGCGUGCUUAACACAUGCAAGUCGAGCGGUAAGGCCCUUUCGGGGGUACACGAGCGGCGAACGGGUGAGUAACACGUGGGUGACCUGCCCUCAGCUCUGGGAUAAGCCUGGGAAACUGGGUCUAAUACCGGAUAUGACUCCAUGACGCAUGUUGUGGGGUGGAAAGCCUUGUGCGGCUGAGGAUGGGCCCGCGGCCUAUCAGCUUGUUGGUGGGGUGANGGCCUACCAAGGCGACGACGGGUAGCCGGCCUGAGAGGGCGACCGGCCACACUGGGACUGAGACACGGCCCAGACUCCGUACGGGAGGCAGCAGGUGGGGAAUCUUGCGCAAUGGGCGAAAGCCUGACGCAGCGACGCCGCGUGAGGGAUGACGGCC
This 389-nucleotide ribosomal RNA is filed under the name uncultured bacterium. RNAcentral's name for it is "bacterial SSU rRNA". It matches the Rfam family "Bacterial small subunit ribosomal RNA", at positions 28 to 416 of the family's 1533-position model. The record is from RNAcentral.